This 490-nucleotide ribosomal RNA is filed under the name uncultured bacterium. RNAcentral describes it as "partial 16S ribosomal RNA". It matches the Rfam family "Bacterial small subunit ribosomal RNA", at positions 30 to 507 of the family's 1533-position model. The record is from RNAcentral.
AUUGAACGCUGGCGGCAGGCCUAACACAUGCAAGUCGAACGGUAACAGGAAGAAGCUUGCUUCUUUGCUGACGAGUGGCGGACGGGUGAGUAAUGUCUGGGAAACUGCCUGAUGGAGGGGGAUAACUACUGGAAACGGUAGCUAAUACCGCAUAACGUCGCAAGACCAAAAAGGGGGACCUUCGGGCCUCUUGCCAUCGGAUGUGCCCAGAUGGGAUUAGCUAGUAGGUGGGGUAACGGCUCACCUAGGCGACGAUCCCUAGCUGGUCUGAGAGGAUGACCAGCCACACUGGAACUGAGACACGGUCCAGACUCCUACGGGAGGCAGCAGUGGGGAAUAUUGCACAAUGGGCGCAAGCCUGAUGCAGCCAUGCCGCGUGUAUGAAGAAGGCCUUCGGGUUGUAAAGUACUUUCAGCGGGGAGGAAGGGAGUUAAGUUAAUACCUUGGCUCAUUGACGUUACCCGCAGAAGAAGCACCGGCUAACUCCGUG